This 253-nucleotide ribosomal RNA is filed under the name uncultured bacterium. RNAcentral's name for it is "partial 16S ribosomal RNA". It matches the Rfam family "Bacterial small subunit ribosomal RNA", at positions 524 to 776 of the family's 1533-position model. The record is from RNAcentral.
UACGUAGGGUGCAAGCGUUAAUCGGAAUUACUGGGCGUAAAGCGUGCGCAGGCGGCUUUGCAAGACAGAUGUGAAAUCCCCGGGCUUAACCUGGGAACUGCAUUUGUGACUGCAUGGCUAGAGUGCGGCAGAGGGGGAUGGAAUUCCGCGUGUAGCAGUGAAAUGCGUAGAUAUCGAGAGGAACACCAGUGGCGAAGGCGGCAUCCUGGACCAACACUGACGCUGAGGAGCGAAAGCCAGGGGAGCAAACGGG